AGAAUAAGGGUUCGACUCCGGAGAGGGAGCCUGAGAAACGGCUACCACAUCCAAGGAAGGCAGCAGGCGCGCAAAUUACCCACUCUCGGCACGAGGAGGUAGUGACGAAAAAUAACGAGAUGGAUCUCUUUGAGGCCCAUUAUCGGAAUGAGAACAAUUCAAAUCCUUUAACGAGGAUCUAGCGGAGGGCAAGUCUGGUGCCAGCAGCCGCGGUAAUUCCAGCUCCGCAGGUGUAUAUCUAUGCUGCUGCGGUUAAAAAGCUCGUAGUUGGAUCUGCGUGCUCGGAACUGGUUGGCUCACUGAGUUCAAACUGGUCUCCGGCGCUUUAUUUGCUGGUUUUCCCUUGAUGCUCUUAACCGGGUGUCUCGGGUGGCUAGCGUGUUUACUUUGAAAAAAUUAGAGUGCUCAAUACAGGCGCAAAGCCUUGAAUAGUGGUGCAUGGAAUAAUAGAAUAGGACCUCGGCUCUAUUUUGUUGGUUUUCGGAACACGAGGUAAUGAUUAAGAGGGACAGACGGUGGCAUUCGUAUUGCGACGUUAGAGGUGAAAUUCUUGGAUCGUCGCAAGACGGACGACUGCGAAAGCAUUUGCCAAGAAUGUUUUCAUUAAUCAAGAACGAAAGUUAGAGGUUCGAAGGCGAUCAGAUACCGCCCUAGUUCUAACCGUAAACGAUGCCAACUAGCGAUUCGCAGGCGUUAAACAACGACCUUGCGGGCAGCUUCCCGGAAACGAAAGUGUUCCGGUUCCGGGGGAAGUAUGGUUGCAAAGCUGAAACUUAAAGGAAUUGACGGAAGGGCACCACCAGGAGUGGAGCCUGCGGCUUAAUUUGACCCAACACGGGAAAACUCACCCGGCCCGGACGCCGUAAGGAUUGACAGAUUGAGAGCUCUUUCUUGAUUCGGUGGGUGGUGGUGCAUGGCCGUUCUUAGUUGGUGGAGCGAUUUGUCUGGUUUAUUCCGAUAACGAACGAGACUCUGGCCUACUAAAUAGUGGGCGGAUUCUUUCUGUCCGCAACACUUCUUAGAGGGACAAGCGGUGUUCAGCCGCACGAGAUUGAGCAAUAACAGGUCUGUGAUGCCCUUAGAUGUCCGGGGCUGCACGCGCGCUACACUGAAGGAAUCAGCGUGCUUUCUGACCUUGCCCGAAAGGGCUGGGUAACCCGAUGAAAAUCCUUCGUGAUUGGGAUAGGGACUUGCAAUUAUUUCCCUUGAACGAGGAAUUCCCAGUAAGUGUGGGUCAUAAGCUCGCGUUGAUUACGUCCCUGCCCUUUGUACACACCGCCCGUCGCUGCCCGGGACUGAGCCGUUUCGAGAAGAACAGGGACCGUCGUUGAAGGGCCCUAACGGGCUUUUCUCUGAUAGAAACUGUUUUAAUCGCAGUGGCUUGAACCGGGCAAAAGUCGUAACAAGGUU
This 1410-nucleotide ribosomal RNA is filed under the name metagenome. RNAcentral describes it as "SSU rRNA". It matches the Rfam family "Eukaryotic small subunit ribosomal RNA", at positions 366 to 1801 of the family's 1831-position model. The record is from RNAcentral.